ACAGUUGAAGUACUAUUGUAUAAGCAACUUGCUUUCUCUCUUUUUUUUUUUAAGAUUUUAUUUAUUCAUGAGAGACACACAGAAAGAGGCAGAGACACAGGCAGACAGAGAAGCAGGCUCCAUGCAGGAAGCCAGGUAUGGGACUCGAUUCCGGAACUCCAGGAUCACGCCCUGAGCAGAAGGCAAAUGCUCAACCGCUGAACCACCCAGGUGUCCCAGCAACUUGCUUUCUCUAUAUUGGAUUAUUAUACAAGGCAGGGUCUGGAGGAAGUAGAAUAGAAGAUCUGAGAGAAGGUGCCUGA
This 302-nucleotide long non-coding RNA is filed under the name Canis lupus familiaris (dog). RNAcentral's name for it is "lncRNA (ENSCAFG00000053196.1)". The record is from RNAcentral. Lineage: Eukaryota; Metazoa; Chordata; Mammalia; Carnivora; Canidae.